Molecule: ribosomal RNA, 496 nt
Filed under: uncultured bacterium
Lineage: Bacteria
Description: bacterial SSU rRNA
Rfam family: Bacterial small subunit ribosomal RNA
Source: RNAcentral
GACGAACGCUGGCGGCGUGCCUAAUACAUGCAAGUCGAGCGGAGUUAGAGAAGCUUGCUUCUCUAACUUAGCGGCGGACGGGUGAGUAACACGUGGGCAACCUACCUUGUAGAUUGGGAUAACUCCGGGAAACCGGGGCUAAUACCGAAUAAUCCAUUUUGCUUCAUGGCGAGAUGUUAAAAGGCGGCUUCGGCUGUCACUACGAGAUGGGCCCGCGGCGCAUUAGCUAGUUGGUAGGGUAAUGGCCUACCAAGGCGACGAUGCGUAGCCGACCUGAGAGGGUGACCGGCCACACUGGGACUGAGACACGGCCCAGACUCCUACGGGAGGCAGCAGUAGGGAAUCUUCCACAAUGGACGAAAGUCUGAUGGAGCAACGCCGCGUGAGUGAAGAAGGUUUUCGGAUCGUAAAACUCUGUUGUAAGGGAAGAACACGUACGAGAGUAACUGCUCGUACCUUGACGGUACCUUAUUAGAAAGCCACGGCUAACUACGUG